CCUGUUAGAAGAUAUUUUUUUGAAAGAUAGCACAGUUAUGGCCAGAUACAAUUAAAAUGCUGCUUCCUUUACAAGAUGAGGGGAGAAAAAAAAACAAAACAUAGCAGCAGACAAAAUGAAGAGCUGCACAAAAGUGAUUAUGCUAUCCAACAAUUUCUGAAAGAGAUACCUAACUAACAUGUGUCUCACAAUCAUGAGAAGAAUUUAGCCAUUGAAUGGAAUAGGAAUAACCAGAGCCAUGAGGUAUAAAGUUACUGGCAAUUGCUUUAGAGAAGAAAAGGAACCAAAGGACUCCAUGCUUUACACAGCAGUAAGUAUUAUACAGUAGAACAAAGGAAGAACUUCCCCAGAGUGUCCUAUAAACAAAACUCAAAAUCCUACAAUACAGUUUCAGUUCCAGUUUCACUUACGAAUUCUAUUAAAACAUUACUUAGCAACAACUGAAAACAUCAGUGUUAUCAACAUUCUUCUCAUACCUAACUCAAAAACAUAGCAUUGUACCAGCUACUAGGAAGACAAUUAAGUCUAUCCCAGCUGAAACCAGGACAAUAAUUUAAAAAUAUAAACUUUCUUUUAGAAGAAAAAUUAAUAAAAUUUAGAUUAUUAUAAAACACCGGGACAAAAAUCACUGUAUGUAUUACUUGUCUGUAGCUGGAUGUAAAGGCUCCUAGGUAAGCUACAAUUCCCGAUGAAAUAAGUAUAUCUCCAGUCAAAUUGAUGUACUGCCUUCCCAGCUCCAAAGCAGUCUCAUGCCAGCGAGUUUUCUCACCCCCAAGG
Molecule: long non-coding RNA, 777 nt
Organism: Aquila chrysaetos chrysaetos
Lineage: Eukaryota; Metazoa; Chordata; Aves; Accipitriformes; Accipitridae
Exons: 3
Source: RefSeq, a predicted model, not a curated record